AUGAGGGCGCAGCCGCGGGCGCCGCCGGGCCGGAGCGCGGCGCCGCAGCAGAAGCAGCGGCUGGCGACGGCGGCCACGGCCUGGCCGACGAGCAGCAGGGCGAGCGCGGCGCCGGCCAUCCCGGUGGCCGCGUCCGGGCGGUACACGCAGUAG
This 153-nucleotide ribosomal RNA is filed under the name Triticum aestivum (bread wheat). RNAcentral describes it as "partial small subunit ribosomal RNA". The record is from RNAcentral. Lineage: Eukaryota; Viridiplantae; Streptophyta; Magnoliopsida; Poales; Poaceae.